CAGCAGAAGAUUCGCGAGUCAUCCGCUUGGGGCGCAGCAGCGAAGUUAUUACUGCGGAUUCCUAUGACAGAGGUCAUUUUCACCUCAAACUGUGUUGAGUGGAGUCACCACCAAGGAGCUGUAUGCUGAGUUUGGGAUGAUUUUAGAGGACUGAGAGGUGACAUUAUUCUAUUCCACGCCUGAUGCUUUUGAGGUGACAAUCUACUAAAGCAGUUUUGUGAAGAAGCUGCCCCAUAGGCCUGUGUCACUAUGGAGAGACGUGGCUGUGCAGCUCCAGACUGGAACCACCUGGACUUGCUUGUUGCAGAGAAAAUAUUAUUUAUUACGUUCUGUUCUGCAAAAUGGACUGAUAUUGGAUUCUGCAGAACGCCAGUCUCACCCACACUUAAUAAAAUCUCAUUUACACAUUCA
Xenopus laevis (African clawed frog) is the source of this 411-nucleotide RNA transcript. It is a transcript of the gene named SWI5 homologous recombination repair protein S homeolog, with no coding region annotated. Lineage: Eukaryota; Metazoa; Chordata; Amphibia; Anura; Pipidae. The transcript has 2 exons. The record is from RefSeq and is a predicted model, not a curated record.